AGAGUUUGAUCAUGGCUCAGGAUGAACGCUAGCUACAGGCUUAACACAUGCAAGUCGAGGGGAAACGACAUCGAAAGCUUGCUUUUGAUGGGCGUCGACCGGCGCACGGGUGAGUAACGCGUAUCCAACCUGCCCACCACUUGGGGAUAACCUUGCGAAAGUAAGACUAAUACCCAAUGACGUCUCUAGAAGACAUCUGAAAGAGAUUAAAGAUUUAUCGGUGAUGGAUGGGGAUGCGUCUGAUUAGCUUGUUGGGCGGGGUAACGGCCGCCAAGGCUACGAUCAGUAGGGGUUCUGAGAGGAACGGUCCCCCANAUUGGAACUGAGACACGGUCCAAACUCCGUACGGGAGGCA
RNAcentral lists this ribosomal RNA (355 nucleotides) under uncultured bacterium. Its description in RNAcentral is "bacterial SSU rRNA". It matches the Rfam family "Bacterial small subunit ribosomal RNA", at positions 8 to 350 of the family's 1533-position model. The record is from RNAcentral.